RNAcentral lists this ribosomal RNA (158 nucleotides) under uncultured bacterium. Its description in RNAcentral is "partial 16S ribosomal RNA". It matches the Rfam family "Bacterial small subunit ribosomal RNA", at positions 355 to 509 of the family's 1533-position model. The record is from RNAcentral.
UGAGGAAUAUUGGUCAAUGGGCGCGAGCCUGAACCAGCCAAGUCGCGUGAGGGAUGACGGCCCUACGGGUUGUAAACCUCUUUUGUCGGGGAGCAAAUUCCGUUACGUGUAACGGAGUCGAGAGUACCCGAAGAAAAAGCAUCGGCUAACUCCGUGCC